GACGAACGCUGGCGGCGUGCUUAACACAUGCAAGUCGAACGCUGAAGACCUGGCUUUUGUUGGGUUGGAUGAGUGGCGAACGGGUGAGUAACACGUGAGUAACCUGCCCUCUUCUUUGGGAUAACGCCCGGAAACGGGUGCUAAUACUGGAUAUUCACUGAUCUUCGCAUGGGGGUUGGUGGAAAGGUUUGUUCUGGUGGGGGAUGGGCUCGCGGCCUAUCAGCUUGUUGGUGGGGUGAUGGCCUACCAAGGCUUUGACGGGUAGCCGGCCUGGGAGGGUGACCGGUCACGUUGGGACUGAGAUACGGCCCAGACUCCUACGGGAGGCAGCAGUGGGGAAUAUUGCACGAUGGGCGAAAGCCUGAUGCAGCGACGCCGCGUGAGGGAUGGAGGCCUUCGGGUUGGAAACCUCUUUCGCUCAUGGUCAAGCCGCAACUGUGGGUUGUGGUGAGGGUAGUGGGUAAAGAAGCGCCGGCUAACUACGUG
This 486-nucleotide ribosomal RNA is filed under the name uncultured bacterium. Its description in RNAcentral is "partial 16S ribosomal RNA". It matches the Rfam family "Bacterial small subunit ribosomal RNA", at positions 28 to 507 of the family's 1533-position model. The record is from RNAcentral.